Molecule: ribosomal RNA, 961 nt
Filed under: Bacillus pumilus
Lineage: Bacteria; Bacillati; Bacillota; Bacilli; Caryophanales; Bacillaceae
Description: bacterial SSU rRNA
Rfam family: Bacterial small subunit ribosomal RNA
Source: RNAcentral
AUGCAGUCGAGCGGMAGAAGGGAGCUUGCUCCCGGAUGUUAGCGGCGGACGGGUGAGUAACACGUGGGUAACCUGCCUGUAAGACUGGGAUAACUCCGGGAAACCGGAGCUAAUACCGGAUAGUUCCUUGAACCGCAUGGUUCAAGGAUGAAAGACGGUUUCGGCUGUCACUUACAGAUGGACCCGCGGCGCAUUAGCUAGUUGGUGGGGUAAUGGCUCACCAAGGCGACGAUGCGUAGCCGACCUGAGAGGGUGAUCGGCCACACUGGGACUGAGACACGGCCCAGACUCCUACGGGAGGCAGCAGUAGGGAAUCUUCCGCAAUGGACGAAAGUCUGACGGAGCAACGCCGCGUGAGUGAUGAAGGUUUUCGGAUCGUAAAGCUCUGUUGUUAGGGAAGAACAAGUGCGAGAGUAACUGCUCGCACCUUGACGGUACCUAACCAGAAAGCCACGGCUAACUACGUGCCAGCAGCCGCGGUAAUACGUAGGUGGCAAGCGUUGUCCGGAAUUAUUGGGCGUAAAGGGCUCGCAGGCGGUUUCUUAAGUCUGAUGUGAAAGCCCCCGGCUCAACCGGGGAGGGUCAUUGGAAACUGGGGAAACUUGAGUGCAGAAGAGGAGAGUGGAAUUCCACGUGUAGCGGUGAAAUGCGUAGAGAUGUGGAGGAACACCAGUGGCGAAGGCGACUCUCUGGUCUGUAACUGACGCUGAGGAGCGAAAGCGUGGGGAGCGAACAGGAUUAGAUACCCUGGUAGUCCACGCCGUAAACGAUGAGUGCUAAGUGUUAGGGGGUUUCCCGCCCCUUAGUGCUGCAGCUAACGCAUUAAGCACUCCGCCUGGGGAGUACGGUCGCAAGACUGAACUCAAAGGAAUUGACGGGGGGCCCCGCACAGCGUGAGCAUGUGAUUAAUUCGAGCACGCGAAGAACCUUACCAGUCUGGACAUCUCUGACUAUCCUUAGA